AGCAGCCGCGGUAAUUCCAGCUCCAAUAGCGUAUAUUAAAGUUGUUGCAGUUAAAAAGCUCGUAGUUGAAUUUCGGGAUCAAUAUGUUGGUCGUGCCUCGGUACGUACUAGCUUAUUGGUUUCUCCUUUCUGAAGAACCAUGAUGUCAUUUAUUUGGUGUCGUGGGGAAUCAGGACUGUUACUUUGAAAAAUUAGAGUGUUUAAAGCAGGCUCACGCUUGAAUACAUUAGCAUGGAAUAAUGAAAUAGGACGUUUGAUUCUAUUUUGUUGGUUUCUAGGAUCGACGUAAUGAUUAAUAGGGAUAGUUGGGGGCAUUAGUAUUCAAUUGUCAGAGGUGAAAUUCUUGGAUUUAUUGAAGACUAACUACUGCGAAAGCAUUUGCCAAGGAUGUUUUCAUUAAUCAAGAACGAAAGUUAGGGGAUCGAAGACGAUCAGAUACCGUCGUAGUCUUAACCAUAAACUAUGCCGA
Molecule: unclassified non-coding RNA, 469 nt
Filed under: uncultured Glomus
Lineage: Eukaryota; Fungi; Glomeromycota; Glomeromycetes; Glomerales; Glomeraceae
Description: SSU rRNA
Rfam family: Eukaryotic small subunit ribosomal RNA
Source: RNAcentral